This 282-nucleotide ribosomal RNA is filed under the name Bacillus cereus. Its description in RNAcentral is "partial 23S ribosomal RNA". It matches the Rfam family "Bacterial large subunit ribosomal RNA", at positions 1 to 276 of the family's 2925-position model. Lineage: Bacteria; Bacillati; Bacillota; Bacilli; Caryophanales; Bacillaceae. The record is from RNAcentral.
GUUUGGUUAAGUUAGAAAGGGCGCACGGUGGAUGCCUUGACACUAGGAGUCGAUGAAGGACGGGACUAACGCCGAUAUGCUUCGGGGAGCUGUAAGUAAGCUUUGAUCCGAAGAUUUCCGAAUGGGGAAACCCACCAUACGUAAUGGUAUGGUAUCCUUACCUGAAUACAUAGGGUAAGGAAGACAGACCCAGGGAACUGAAACAUCUAAGUACCUGGAGGAAGAGAAAGCAAAUGCGAUUUCCUGAGUAGCGGCGAGCGAAACGGAACAUAGCCCAAACCA